Molecule: ribosomal RNA, 233 nt
Filed under: uncultured bacterium
Lineage: Bacteria
Description: partial 16S ribosomal RNA
Rfam family: Bacterial small subunit ribosomal RNA
Source: RNAcentral
AGAGUUUGAUCCUGGCUCAGGAUGAACGCUGGCGGCGUGCUUAACACAUGCAAGUCGAACGAAGCACUUAAGUUUGAUUCUUCGGAUGAAGACUUUUGUGACUGAGUGGCGGACGGGUGAGUAACGCGUGGGUAACCUGCCUCAUACAGGGGGAUAACAGUUAGAAAUGGCUGCUAAUACCGCAUAAGACCACAGCACCGCAUGGUGCAGGGGUAAAAACUCCGGUGGUAUGA